Abrus precatorius (Indian licorice) is the source of this 1749-nucleotide RNA transcript. It is a transcript of the gene named protein AAR2 homolog, with no coding region annotated. The record is from RefSeq and is a predicted model, not a curated record. The transcript is spliced from 14 exons. Lineage: Eukaryota; Viridiplantae; Streptophyta; Magnoliopsida; Fabales; Fabaceae.
AAAGAGAAAUAUUUAAAAUUACUUUUAAAUUUAAUUUACCUUAAAAAAAAUAACCCAUUUUUGGCACACGUUGGCAGAGGACUGUUCCAGAAGACUCUUCUCAUUUCUUGUGAAGUCAAGUUCGCAGCGCAGCACAGCACUACAACGUUAGAGCUAUGGAUCCUCAAACAGCAUUAGAGCUUGUCAAGCACGGCGUCACUCUUCUCUUCCUCGAUGUUCCUCAGUACACCCUCAUCGCUAUUGAUACUCAGAUGUUCUCAGUGGGGCCUGCUUUUAAGGGUAUUAAGAUGGUUCCUUCAGGCACUCAUUUUGUGUACUAUAGUUCAUCAAGCAGAGAUGGAAAGGAGUUCUCACCAAUUAUUGGAUUCUUUAUUGAUGCUGGCCCUUCAGAGGUAAUUGUUCGUAAAUGGAAUCAAAAAGAGGAAAAGCUAGUCAAAGUGUCUGAGGAAGAGGAGGAAAGAUAUAGUCAAGCUGUUAAAAAUUUGGAAUUUGACAGACAACUUGGCCCUUACAAUCUUAACCGUUAUGAAGAUUGGAAGCGAUUAUCUAAUUUUAUUACAAAGAGUGUCAUUGAACGGAUUGAGCCCAUUGGAGGGGAAAUUACUGUUGAAUGCGAAAGUGACAUGGUUAGAAACACUCCUAAAACACCAAUGGAGGAAACACUAGACAAUCAGUUGAAGGUUGGCAAUUCUGUAACAUCUGUUGGCAAGACCCAGAGGAAAGGAUGUUAUUAUACUUCAAUUCCACGUAUUGUAAAAUGCAAGGGGGUUAGUGGGCAGGAACUUACUUCUUUGAAUCUUGACAAGACACAGUUGUUAGAAACUCUUCUGGCAAAAGAUUAUGGAGGUUCUGAAGAAUUGCUUCUUGGAGAACUGCAGUUUGCAUUUGUUGCCUUUUUGAUGGGUCAAUCAUUGGAAGCAUUUCUCCAGUGGAAGUCCUUAGUCAACCUUUUCUUUGGCUGCACUGAAGCACCUUUCCAUACACGAACUCAACUAUUCACAAAGUUCAUUAAAGUCGUGUAUUAUCAACUGAAAUACGGACUACAGAAAGAUCACAUGGAUGAAACAGGAUUGACAUUGUUGGAUGAUUCUUGGCUUUCUGCUGAUAGUUUUUUGCACCAUCUUUGCAAGGAACUUGAAGCCAUGCUAUUAUUCUCUGAGGCUAAGAUUGAGAAGAAUCAGAAGAAUGUAGUCAUUAAAUCACUAUUGAUGAAUCUCACUCAAGAAUUUCCUAUCACUCUGUCUCAGCCUCAGCCCAAUCUACCUCUCACUUCACCUUUUCUUGAAACUCAAUCUGAGUUCAGAUACACUGAGCAACAGAAUCAGCACAAUAGUACUUUUUCUGCUCAUCAUGGCGGCCCUUUUAGAGGCCUUGGUGGUUGUUUUGGUCAAGGUAGAGGUCAUGGCGGCAGGUUUUACGUUCAACACCUGAUCUGUCAUAAGAUGGGCCAUGCUGCUAAUGUGUGCUGGUACUGAAGUACUAAUAUUCUAUUCCUACUCCAAAUCAGUUUAGCUUCUGGUCGAAUUCAUGGCAACAACCAGGAGUACAACAUCAUUCUCAGUUUAGGCUAGUGUUUCCUCCAAUUUAUGGUGAAACUUUUGGGAUGAAGUAUUGUUAGGAUUUCUUUUCGUCAUUGCUAGAUGGGUCAGUUGUUGAUGGAGAUCUUUUAAAAUGGACAAGGAAAUUGAAGGAGCUGUUGGAGAGCAAUCUAGGGUGGGAGUUUCAGCAGAGCAGUGCUGUUGAUGGGAU